UGGGGAAUUUUGGACAAUGGGCGAAAGCCUGAUCCAGCAAUGCCGCGUGUGUGAAGAAGGCCUUCGGGUUGUAAAGCACUUUUGUCCGGAAAGAAAUCCUUGGCUCUAAUACAGUCGGGGGAUGACGGUACCGGAAGAAUAAGCACCGGCUAACUACGUGCCAGCAGCCGCGGUAAUACGUAGGGUGCAAGCGUUAAUCGGAAUUACUGGGCGUAAAGCGUGCGCAGGCGGUUUGCUAAGACCGAUGUGAAAUCCCCGGGCUCAACCUGGGAACUGCAUUGGUGACUGGCAGGCUAGAGUAUGGCAGAGGGGGGUAGAAUUCCACGUGUAGCAGUGAAAUGCGUAGAGAUGUGGAGGAAUACCGAUGGCGAAGGCAGCCCCCUGGGCCAAUACUGACGCUCAUGCACGAAAGCGUGGGGAGCAAACAGGAUUAGAUACCCUGGUAGUCCACGCCCUAAACGAUGUCAACUAGUUGUGGGAUUCAUUCCUUAGUAACGUAGCUAACGCGUGAAGUUGACCGCCUGGGGAGUACGGUCGCAAGAUUAAAACUUAAAUGAAUUGACGGGGUCAUAGCUGUUUCCU
This 582-nucleotide ribosomal RNA is filed under the name uncultured bacterium. RNAcentral's name for it is "partial 16S ribosomal RNA". It matches the Rfam family "Bacterial small subunit ribosomal RNA", at positions 355 to 1375 of the family's 1533-position model. The record is from RNAcentral.